UACAGAGGGUGCAAGCGUUAAUCGGAAUUACUGGGCGUAAAGCGUGCGUAGUCGGUUAUUUAAGUCGGAUGUGAAAUCCCCGGGCUCAACCUGGGAAUUGCAUUCGAUACUGGAUAGCUAGAGUUCGGCAGAGGGAAGUGGAAUUUCUGGUGUAGCGGUGAAAUGCGUAGAUAUGCGGAGGAACACCGAUGGCGAAGGCAAUCCCCUGGGCCUGCACUGACGCUCAUGCACGAAAGCGUGGGGAGCAAACAGG
This 253-nucleotide ribosomal RNA is filed under the name uncultured bacterium. RNAcentral's name for it is "partial 16S ribosomal RNA". It matches the Rfam family "Bacterial small subunit ribosomal RNA", at positions 524 to 776 of the family's 1533-position model. The record is from RNAcentral.